GCCGGUAGUGAUGGAAAGAGAUAG
Molecule: non-coding RNA, 24 nt
Filed under: Arabidopsis thaliana (thale cress)
Lineage: Eukaryota; Viridiplantae; Streptophyta; Magnoliopsida; Brassicales; Brassicaceae
Source: RNAcentral